CCUAGCCUUGGAGUGGGGAAUAACAGCCGGAAACGGCUGCUAAUACCGCAUGAUGUAUCUGGAUCGCAUGGUUCUGGAUACCAAAGAUUUAUCGCUCUGAGAUGGACUCGCGUCUGAUUAGCUAGUUGGUGAGGUAAUGGCUCACCAAGGCGACGAUCAGUAGCCGGACUGAGAGGUUGGCCGGCCACAUUGGGACUGAGACACGGCCCAG
RNAcentral lists this ribosomal RNA (211 nucleotides) under uncultured bacterium. RNAcentral describes it as "partial 16S ribosomal RNA". It matches the Rfam family "Bacterial small subunit ribosomal RNA", at positions 124 to 334 of the family's 1533-position model. The record is from RNAcentral.